This 2074-nucleotide long non-coding RNA is filed under the name Sitophilus oryzae (rice weevil). Its description in RNAcentral is "uncharacterized LOC115885450, transcript variant X1". The record is from RNAcentral. Lineage: Eukaryota; Metazoa; Arthropoda; Insecta; Coleoptera; Curculionidae.
UUCAGUUUGUUCCUGCAUAAAUCUUUUUAGUACUAAACUGCUUUGGAAUGAAUUUUUUGGGGGGACAACAGCAGGAUUAGAGCCAUCCUCUAGAUGCUAUCAGGUAGGUGCGCUUGCGUAGUCGUUUGUUGUAGCAUUAUAUCCCUUUUCCCCCUUUUUAAAAAAUGUUUGUAAGACGCCUGAAAUUUGUAUAAGUUAGUUAUAUAAGUAGUUGAAUAAGAAUUGGUGAGACAUGGAAAAUAGAAGAGGACAGAGAAGAUGGAAGAGGAUUGCUUUGAAAUAGAAGGAAAGGAGAUAGAAGAAGUUUGAGGAAAGGAGGAGGAUUUUGUUCGCUGUAACGGAAGUUUUUUGAAUGAAAUUUGGAGCAACUGUAUUAAGAUGUUAUUGGUAUCUUGGACGUCAAGUUUUAUUUAUUUAUGUAUUAUACAAGCAUAUCUAUUGGUGGAAAUGUAGAAUGGCAGCUGUUAUAACAACUUGGAUGAAUUAUUAGAAACACCAAAGAAGUUUUGGCACAAUUUAAACUGGGAGAAGACUCACAGAUGACCAAUUUAUUCUACAGUAGAUACAGGACAUUAGAUUGACUUCAACAACGCAGAUCACUCUCAAAAAUGAUAUCUGUUUGAGUGAUGUACUGGGCGUUAACAGUUGCUGUUACAAAUCUGCAAAUGAGUUAUUAAAUGAUGUUUCCAGUCCAAGUUCCAGUUUUAAAGGAAAAAAUUUAAUGGACACAGAAAAAUGCCAUUUACUGGAUUGACUUCAACACCUGUUGCCUUUUAUUUAUGGUAUACAAUGGGACAAUCGCUGUUAGAAGUCAACAAGUAGUACUAAUUGCAAAUAAUAUAUUAUGGCGGACAUCAAAAAGCUUUAAAUGGAAUGAAACUUGCAGAAAAAGACUCAGUAGACCAUUUAGGACGCAGAAAAAGACUCAGAAAGUUCAUUUAGAACUCUACUUAAUAGCUGUUAGAGUGGAUACAGUCCUUCAUCAAUGAGAGCUGAAGAAAUUGAUGGUAACGGACAUUUUGACAGCUACUGUCACAACUCAACGAGCAAGUUGCAGCUUUGAAGGAACAUAUUUGAUUGGAUACAGAACAAUGUCAGUCGUUUCAGGAUGUAAAGUUAAUAGAACCAGGGUUGGGCUCGACAUCUCUUACCUUUGAAUAAUGGCAUACGAUAGGACAAUUGCUAUUAGAAACCGAUAAGCCAAACUAGCUGCAAAUAAUAUGUAUGGUGGUUAUAAAAGAGAUUUAAAUGGAAUGAAACUUGUGCAGAAGAAAUUGGUCUGCUGUUACUUAAUAGCUGUUAGAGCGGAUCCAGUUCUUCAUCAAUGGUAUAAGAUGGGAUAAUUGCUGUUAAAAAUCCACAAGCUGUACUAUCUGCAAAUAUUAUGGUGGACAUCAAAAAGCUUUAAAUGGAAUGAAAUUUGCAGGGAAAGACUCAGAAAGACCAUUGAGGACUGUACUUAAUAGCUGUUAGUGUGGUCGCAGUCCUUCAUCACUGAUAUCUCUGCAUUUUUUUAAUAAUGGAUAUCCCAACAGUUGCUCCUACUCCUCACUUUCCUCUUUCACUCAACAUAAAGCAGACUCAAUACUCCUCAAUGCCUCACCAAGGUUCGUUAGCUUCAUUAAUAUUGUUAUUGUUUCAAUAAAUUUGUUUACUGGUUUUUAUCCUCUUCUUAACUAUUUAAGUAUAUCAGGCGUCAUAUUAGUGUUAUUGAUUUUUUGUAAAAUUUUGAUAAUCCGGAAAAAAAUCUUUUUUUUUCUUAAGAUUUUGCAAAAUAAAACACUAGUUAAGAACAAUUCACUUUAUUUUAUGAAUAGGACCAUUAUUUCUGUUUAUAUUGUCUUUUUAUUUAUUUAUAUUUUGAUGCUCUAUUUAUUAUCUAAUCGCCUCUAGUUUGAGGCAUGUUUGAUUAAUUUUAAAUCAUUAAAAUCUAUGCAUUAAUCUUUAUGAAAAAUAUGUUGAGCAAUAUAAUAGUAAUCUGUUAUAAUUUCUCUUAAGCUUUUUUUCAAUCUCAUUUAUCUUUUAUUUUUGCAUUCAUUAAAGGUCAUUAGAUAUUGUAAUUAUGAAUUAAAUU